Molecule: ribosomal RNA, 468 nt
Filed under: uncultured bacterium
Lineage: Bacteria
Description: partial 16S ribosomal RNA
Rfam family: Bacterial small subunit ribosomal RNA
Source: RNAcentral
GACGAACGCUGGCGGCGUGCUUAACACAUGCAAGUCGAACGGAAAGGUCCUGCUUUUGUGGGGUGCUCGAGUGGCGAACGGGUGAGUAACACGUGAGUAACCUGCCCUUGACUUUGGGAUAACUUCAGGAAACUGGGGCUAAUACCGGAUAGGAGCUCCUGCUGCAUGGUGGGGGUUGGAAAGUUUCGGCGGUUGGGGAUGGACUCGCGGCUUAUCAGCUUGUUGGUGGGGUAGUGGCUUACCAAGGCUUUGACGGGUAGCCGGCCUGAGAGGGUGACCGGCCACAUUGGGACUGAGAGACGGCCCAGACUCCUACGGGAGGCAGCAGUGGGGAAUAUUGCACAAUGGGCGGAAGCCUGAUGCAGCAACGCCGCGUGCGGGAUGACGGCCUUCGGGUUGUAAACCGCUUUCGCCUGUGACGAAGCGUGAGUGACGGUAAUUGGUAAAGAAGCACCGGCUAACUACGUG